GACGAACGCUGGCGGCGCGCCUAACACAUGCAAGUCGAACGAGCGAGAGAGAGCUUGCUUUCUCAAGCGAGUGGCGAACGGGUGAGUAACGCGUGAGGAACCUGCCUCAAAGAGGGGGACAACAGUUGGAAACGACUGCUAAUACCGCAUAAGCCCACGACCCGGCAUCGGGUAGAGGGAAAAGGAGCAAUCCGCUUUGAGAUGGCCUCGCGUCCGAUUAGCUAGUUGGUGAGGUAACGGCCCACCAAGGCGACGAUCGGUAGCCGGACUGAGAGGUUGAACGGCCACAUUGGGACUGAGACACAGCCCAGACUCCUACGGGAGGCAGCAGUGGGGAAUAUUGCACAAUGGGGGAAACCCUGAUGCAGCGACGCCGCGUGGAGGAAGAAGGUCUUCGGAUUGUAAACUCCUGUUGUUGAGGAAGAUAAUGACGGUACUCAACAAGGAAGUGACGGCUAACUACGUG
RNAcentral lists this ribosomal RNA (466 nucleotides) under uncultured bacterium. RNAcentral's name for it is "partial 16S ribosomal RNA". It matches the Rfam family "Bacterial small subunit ribosomal RNA", at positions 28 to 507 of the family's 1533-position model. The record is from RNAcentral.